GGAGUGACUAGUGACAGAGUGCGGGAGUGGGUGACUAGUGACAGAGUGAGGGGAUGACUAGUGACACAGUGAGGGGGUGACUAGUGACAGAGUUAGGGAGGGGGUGACUAGUGACAGAGUGAGGGAUGGGGUGACUAGUGACAGUCACCACCUCCCUCACUCUGUCACUGUGUUACUCCCUCCCUCUGUCACAAGUCACCCCCUCCCUCAUUCUGUCACUAUUCACCCCCUCCCUUACUAGUCACCUCCCUCCCUCUGUCACUAGUUACCCCUCCCUCUGUCACUAGUCACUCACUCUGUCACUGGUCAUCCCCUCCCUCACUCUGUCACUAGUCACCCCCUCCCUCUGUCACUAGUCACCCACUCUGUCACUGG
This is a non-coding RNA of Pelobates cultripes (western spadefoot toad), 375 nucleotides long. The record is from the annotation of a GenBank genome assembly. NCBI's taxonomy places the organism in Eukaryota, Metazoa, Chordata, Amphibia, Anura, Pelobatidae.